UACGAAGGGUGCAAGCGUUAAUCGGAAUUACUGGGCGUAAAGCGUGCGUAGGCGGUUGGCUAAGUCAGAUGUGAAAGCCCUGGGCUCAACCUGGGAACGGCAUUUGAAACUGGCGAGCUAGAGUGUGAUAGAGGAUGGCGGAAUUCCCGGUGUAGCGGUGAAAUGCGUAGAGAUCGGGAGGAACAUCCGUGGCGAAGGCGGCCAUCUGGAUCAACACUGACGCUGAGGCACGAAAGCGUGGGGAGCAAACAGG
RNAcentral lists this ribosomal RNA (253 nucleotides) under uncultured bacterium. RNAcentral's name for it is "partial 16S ribosomal RNA". It matches the Rfam family "Bacterial small subunit ribosomal RNA", at positions 524 to 776 of the family's 1533-position model. The record is from RNAcentral.